AGCCCUGUGGUGUAGAAACACGCCGGAUUGCAAAUCCGGAGCCGCAGAGUAAUACCCGCCGGGGCUU
Molecule: transfer RNA, 67 nt
Filed under: Nocomis asper (redspot chub)
Lineage: Eukaryota; Metazoa; Chordata; Actinopteri; Cypriniformes; Leuciscidae
Description: tRNA-Cys
Rfam family: tRNA
About the family: Transfer RNA (tRNA) molecules are approximately 80 nucleotides in length. Their secondary structure includes four short double-helical elements and three loops (D, anti-codon, and T loops).
Source: RNAcentral